CCAGACUCCUACGGGAGACAGCAGUGGGGAAUAUUGCACAAUGGGGGAAACCCUGAUGCAGCGACGCCGCGUGAGCGAAGAAGUAUUUCGGUAUGUAAAGCUCUAUCAGCAGGGAAGAAAUUGACGGUACCUGAGUAAGAAGCUCCGGCUGAAUACGUGCCAGCAGCCGCGGUAAUACGUAUGGAGCAAGCGUUAUCCGGAUUUACUGGGUGUAAAGGGAGCGUAGGCGGCCUGCCAAGUCUGAUGUGAAAUACCGGGGCUCAACCCCGGGGCUGCAUUGGAAACUGGCAGGCUGGAGUGUCGGAGAGGCAGGCGGAAUUCCUGGUGUAGCGGUGAAAUGCGUAGAUAUCAGGAGGAACACCGGCGGCGAAGGCGGCCUGCUGGACCGUGACUGACGUUGAGGCUCGAGAGCGUGGGGAGCAAACAGGAUUAGAUACCCGCGUACA
This 446-nucleotide ribosomal RNA is filed under the name uncultured bacterium. RNAcentral's name for it is "partial 16S ribosomal RNA". It matches the Rfam family "Bacterial small subunit ribosomal RNA", at positions 331 to 797 of the family's 1533-position model. The record is from RNAcentral.